RNAcentral lists this ribosomal RNA (720 nucleotides) under Lecidella euphorea. RNAcentral's name for it is "SSU rRNA". It matches the Rfam family "Bacterial small subunit ribosomal RNA", at positions 410 to 1174 of the family's 1533-position model. Lineage: Eukaryota; Fungi; Ascomycota; Lecanoromycetes; Lecanorales; Lecanoraceae. The record is from RNAcentral.
CAGAUAGUAACUGAUGCAAUAUCGAUUCUGUCGAAUAAAAUUCUAGGUAGAAUUAUGAUAAUGACAUUAUCUGCCUACAUGUCUUGACCAAAUUACGUGCCAGCAGUCGCGGUAAUACGUAGAAGACUAGUGUUAUUCAUCUUUAAUAGGUUUAAAGGGUACCUAGACGGUAAAUCAAGCCUGCGAGGGGACUAGUUUACUAGAGUUACUUGCGAGGGGGUAUUAAAGUACUAAUGGUGUAGAGAUGAAAUUCUGUCAUACCUCUUUUCGGAAGAAAAACUAUGGCACAGGUAUAGGCGAAAGCAUCCCCUUAUGUGAUAACUGACGUUGAAGGACGAAGGCUUUGUGUCGCGAACAGGAUUAGAUACCCCAGUAGUCAAAGCAGAAAAUGAUGAAUGUCAUAGAUUAGGCAUAUAAUAGUUUAUUCUAUAAAUGAAAGUGUAAGCAUUCCACCUCAAGAGUAAUUUGGCAACAUUGGAACUGAAAUCAUUAGACCGUUUCUGAAACCAGUAGUGAAGUAUGUUGUUUAAUUUGAUAAUCCGCAAAAAACCUUACCACAACUUGAAUAUUUAUGUUUACUUUUUUAUAAAAAAAAUAUAUUUACAAGCGUUGCACGGCUGUCUUCAGUUAAUGUCGUGAGAUUUUGGUUAGUUCCAUUAAAUUAACGUAAACCCUUGCUUUAUUUUUAUAUAAAGUAGUUCCCCGCUAGAUGGAUAUGAU